GCUCAGAACGAACGCUGGCGGCAUGCCUAAUACAUGCAAGUCGAACGAGAUCUUCGGAUNUAGUGGCGCACGGGGUGCGUAACGCGGUGGGAAUCUGCCCUUGGGUUNGGAAUNACAGUUGGAAACGACUGCUAAUACCGGAUGAUGACGUAAGUCCAAAGAUUUAUCGCCCAGGGAUGAGCCCGCGUAGGAUUAGCUAGUUGGUGGGGUAAAGGCCUACCAAGGCGACGAUCCUUAGCUGGUCUGAGAGGAUGAUCAGCCACACUGGGACUGAGACACGGCCCAGACUCCUACGGGAGGCAGCAGUAGGGAAUAUUGGACAAUGGGGGCAACCCUGAUCCAGCAAUGCCGNGUGAGUGAUGAAGGCCUUAGGGUUGUAAAGCUUCUUUUACCCGAG
RNAcentral lists this ribosomal RNA (397 nucleotides) under Sphingomonas sp. BAL35. RNAcentral's name for it is "bacterial SSU rRNA". It matches the Rfam family "Bacterial small subunit ribosomal RNA", at positions 22 to 444 of the family's 1533-position model. The record is from RNAcentral. Lineage: Bacteria; Pseudomonadati; Pseudomonadota; Alphaproteobacteria; Sphingomonadales; Sphingomonadaceae.